Phaethon lepturus (White-tailed tropicbird) is the source of this 348-nucleotide long non-coding RNA. RefSeq lists it as uncharacterized. The transcript is spliced from 3 exons. NCBI's taxonomy places the organism in Eukaryota, Metazoa, Chordata, Aves, Phaethontiformes, Phaethontidae. The record is from RefSeq and is a predicted model, not a curated record.
CUUCCUAGGUUGAGCAUGUACUUCCUCUUCUGAAGCGAGGAAUUGGUAUCCAUCAUGGUGGUCUGCUUCCUAUCUUAAAAGAAACUAUAGAAAUUCUUUUCUCAGAGGGCCUAAUAAAGGCCUUAUUUGCAACAGAGACUUUUGCUAUGGGGAUUAAUAUGCCAGCCAGGACUGUCCUAUUUACAAGUGCCAGCAAAUUUGAUGGAAAAGACUUUCGAUGGAUAUCCUCAGGUGAAUACAUUCAAAUGUCAGGUCGUGCAGGACGCCGAGGUAUGGAUGACAGAGGAAUAGUCAUCCUUAUGGUGGAUGAAAAAAUGAGUCCAACAAUCGGCAAGCAGCUUUUGAAGG